GUGGAUUAGAUACCCUGGUAGUCCACGCCCUAAACGAUGCCAACUAGGUGUUGGGGAAGGAGACUUCCUUAGUACCGUAGCUAACGCGUGAAGUUGGCCGCCUGGGGAGUACGGUCGCAAGAUUAAAACUCAAAGGAAUUGACGGGGACCCGCACAAGCGGUGGAUGAUGUGGAUUAAUUCGAUGCAACGCGAAAAACCUUACCUACCCUUGACAUGCCAGGAACCCUGCUGAGAGGUGGGGGUGCUCGAAAGAGAGCCUGGACACAGGUGCUGCAUGGUCGUCGUCAGCU
This 291-nucleotide ribosomal RNA is filed under the name uncultured bacterium. RNAcentral's name for it is "partial 16S ribosomal RNA". It matches the Rfam family "Bacterial small subunit ribosomal RNA", at positions 773 to 1060 of the family's 1533-position model. The record is from RNAcentral.